ACGCUGGCGGCGUGGAUUAGGCAUGCAAGUCGAACGAUCGCCCGGAUGUAGCAAUAUGUCCGGGUGGGAGUGGCGUACGGGUGAGUAACGCGCGGGUAAUCUACCUCGAAGUUGGGUACAGUCCGGCGAAAGCUGGGUUAAUACCGGAUGUGGUCGCUCCGCGAGUGCGGGGCUGUCUAAAGGUGGGGAUCGCAAGACCUGCCGCUUCGAGAUGAGCCCACGUCCUAUCAGCUUGUUGGUAGGGUAACGGCCUACCAAGGCUUACGGGUAGCUGGUCUGAGAGGAUGGUCAGCCACACUGGGACUGAGACACUGCCCAGACUCCUACGGGAGGCUGCAGUCGAGAAUCUUUCGCAAUGGGGGCAACCCUGACGAAGCGACGCCGCGUGCAGGAUGAAGGUCUUCGGAUUGUAAACUGCUGUCUUUGGGGAGCAACUGACGGGGCGUUAAUACCGCCACGAACUGAUAGUACCCGAGGAGGAAGCCACGGCUAACUCUGUGCCAGCAGCCGCGGUAAUACAGAGGUGGCGAGCGUUGUUCGGAUUUACUGGGCGUAAAGGGUGCGUAGGCGGAGUUGUGUGUCGGGUGUGAAAGCCCACGGAUCAUCUGUGGAAUGCACUCGAAACUGCGACUCUAGAGUGCAGGAGAGGAGGGCGGAAUUCUCGGUGUAGCGGUGAAAUGCGUUGAUAUCGAGAGGAACGCCGGUGGCGAAGGCGGCCCUCUGGACUGACUCUGACGCUGAGGCACGAAAGCUGGGGGAGCAAACAGGAUUAGAUACCCUGGUAGUCCCAGCCCUAAACGGUGUGCACUUGGUGUGGGAGGAAUUAUCCCCUUCCGUGCCGUAGCUAACGCGAUAAGUGCACCGCCUGGGGAGUACGGCCGCAAGGCUAAAACUCAAAGGAAUUGACGGGGGCCCGCACAAGCGGUGGAGCAUGUGGCUCAAUUCGAUGCAACGCGAAGAACCUUACCUGGGCUUGACAUGUAACUGCACGCCCCGGGAAACCGGGGAAGCCUUCGAGGGUGUUACACAGGUGCUGCAUGGCUGUCGUCAGCUCGUGCCGUGAGGCGUUAGGUUAAGUCCUGCAACGAGCGCAACCCCUGUGACUAGUUACUAAUCCGCAAGGAAGCACUCUAGUCAGACUGCCUGUGAUAAGCAGGAGGAAGGUGGGGAUGACGUCAAGUCAGUAUGGUCCUUAUGUCCAGGGCUGCACACGUGCUACAAUGACCGGUACAGAAAGAUGCAAAGCCGCGAGGUGGAGCAAAUCUCCAAAACCGGUCACAGUUCAGAUAGGAGUCUGCAACUCGACUCCUUGAAGCCGGAAUCGCUAGUAAUGGCGCAUCAGCUACGGCGCCGUGAAUACGUUCCCGGGCCUUGUACACACCGCCCGUCACAUCAUGAAAGCCGAUUGCACCCAAAGUCGCUGUCGUGACCCGCAAGGGAACAAGGUGCCUAAGG
This 1455-nucleotide ribosomal RNA is filed under the name metagenome. RNAcentral describes it as "bacterial SSU rRNA". It matches the Rfam family "Bacterial small subunit ribosomal RNA". The record is from RNAcentral.